This 865-nucleotide ribosomal RNA is filed under the name uncultured Methanococcoides sp. Its description in RNAcentral is "bacterial SSU rRNA". It matches the Rfam family "Archaeal small subunit ribosomal RNA", at positions 489 to 1353 of the family's 1478-position model. Lineage: Archaea; Methanobacteriati; Methanobacteriota; Methanomicrobia; Methanosarcinales; Methanosarcinaceae. The record is from RNAcentral.
UGGUAAUCACUUUUAUUGGGUCUAAAGGGUCCGUAGCCGGUUUGAUCAGUUCUUCGGGAAAUCUGACAGCUUAACUGUUAGGCUUCCGGGGAAUACUGUCAGACUUGGGACCGGGAGAGGUAAGAGGUACUACAGGGGUAGGAGUGAAAUCUUGUAAUCCCUGUGGGACCACCAGUGGCGAAGGCGUCUUACCAGAACGGGUCCGACGGUGAGGGACGAAAGCUGGGGGCACGAACCGGAUUAGAUACCCGGGUAGUCCCAGCCGUAAACGAUGUUCGCUAGGUGUCAGGGACGGUGCGACCGUUUCUGGUGCCGCAGGGAAGCCGUGAAGCGAACCACCUGGGAAGUACGGCCGCAAGGCUGAAACUUAAAGGAAUUGGCGGGGGAGCACUACAACGGGUGGAGCCUGCGGUUUAAUUGGACUCAACGCCGGAAAACUCACCGGGGGCGACAGCAACAUGUAGGUCAGGCUAAAGACCUUACCUGAAUCGCUGAGAGGAGGUGCAUGGCCGUCGUCAGUUCGUACUGUGAAGCAUCCUGUUAAGUCAGGCAACGAGCGAGACCCGUGCCCACUGUUGCCAGCAUGUCCUUCGGGAUGAUGGGUACUCUGUGGGGACCGCUGGUGCUAAACCAGAGGAAGGUGCGGGCUACGGUAGGUCAGUAUGCCCCGAAUCUCCCGGGCUACACGCGGGCUACAAUGGCUGGGACAAUGGGUUCCUACACCGAAAGGUGAUGGUAAUCUCCCAAACCCAGCCGUAGUUCGAAUCGAGGACUGUAACUCGUCCUCGUGAAGCUGGAAUCCGUAGUAAUCGCGUUUCAACAUAGCGCGGUGAAUACGUCCCUGCUCCUUGCACGAAUUCGCCGA